This 252-nucleotide ribosomal RNA is filed under the name uncultured bacterium. RNAcentral describes it as "partial 16S ribosomal RNA". It matches the Rfam family "Bacterial small subunit ribosomal RNA", at positions 524 to 776 of the family's 1533-position model. The record is from RNAcentral.
UACGGGGGGGCAAGCGUUGUUCGGAAUUCCUGGGCGUAAAGGGCUCGUAGGCGGCCAACUAAGUCAGACGUGAAAUCCCCAGGCUCAACCUGGGAACUGCGUCUGAUACUGGAUGGCUUGAAUCCGGGAGAGGGAUGCAGAAUUCCAGGUGUAGCGGUGAAAUGCGUAGAUAUCUGGAGGAAUACCGGUGGCGAAGGCGGCAUCCUGGACCGGCAUUGACGCUGAGGAGCGAAAGCUAGGGGAGCAAACGGG